UACGUAGGGGCAAGCGUUGUCCGGAUUUAUUGGGCGUAAAGAGCGUGUAGGCGGCCAUACAGGUCAGCUGUGAAACUCGAGGCUCAACCUCGAGACGUCGGUUGAAACCGUAUGGCUAGAGUCCGGAAGAGGAGAGUGGAAUUCCCGGUGUAGCGGUGAAAUGCGCAGAUAUCGGGAGGAACACCGGUGGCGAAGGCGGUUCUCUGGGCCUUACCUGACACUGAGGAGCGAAAGCGUGGGAGCGAACAGGAC
This 252-nucleotide ribosomal RNA is filed under the name uncultured bacterium. RNAcentral's name for it is "partial 16S ribosomal RNA". It matches the Rfam family "Bacterial small subunit ribosomal RNA", at positions 524 to 778 of the family's 1533-position model. The record is from RNAcentral.